RNAcentral lists this long non-coding RNA (327 nucleotides) under Capra hircus (goat). RNAcentral describes it as "lncRNA (ENSCHIG00010017318.1)". Lineage: Eukaryota; Metazoa; Chordata; Mammalia; Artiodactyla; Bovidae. The record is from RNAcentral.
GCAGUCCGGCUGAUUUGAUCUCCACUGGGGUGGAUUCAGUGAGCCCCAAGAAGCGGGUCUGAGUUUUCAAUCCAGGUCUGAGUAAAAUUAAGAAGAAAGAGCUGCUACAAUCACAGCAGAUGAAGAUCCACUAGUGAAUUGAUCCAGAUUUUUGGCCAGCCCUCCAGAGAAAAGGUAAGUUGGCCACCUCUGUAACAUCAGAUGUUCCAGAUUAAGAAAAAAAAAACAUGAAUAAUAAUUUUUAAAAAUGAAUAAGCCUGCUUUUUCCCCAUCUAAAGAAAGCCCCUCUAAGUAAGCAGCUAUGACACGCGUGCCUCAGGAGUGCGG